UACAGAGGUGCCAAGCGUUAGGCGGAAUCACGGGGCUUAAAGCGCGCGUGGGCGGAUGUUUAAGUGUCUUGUGAAAUCCCACGGCUCAACCGUGGAACUGCUGGGCAUACUGGACAUCUUGAGGCACUCAAGGGCGAGCGGAACAAGUGGUGGAGCGGUGAAAUGCGUAGAUAUCACUUGGAACGCCAAUGGUGAAGACAGCUCGCUGGGGGUGUCCUGACGCUGAGGCGCGAAAGCCAGGGGAGCGAACGGG
Molecule: ribosomal RNA, 253 nt
Filed under: uncultured bacterium
Lineage: Bacteria
Description: partial 16S ribosomal RNA
Rfam family: Bacterial small subunit ribosomal RNA
Source: RNAcentral